UGGAGGAAGGCACAUGCAUGAAGACGAAUGGCCAUUUAAUUGCGAGUAAGAGAUGAAGAGAUGGGAGGAGGUUUGUCUGGGAGGAGGCAAUGAUCUGGUUAAUGAUUCUUUUGCUUCUAGAGGGAGAUUUUGGAACCACUGGGCAAUGCCUCUGGUACUCAUUGUUCUAUCAAACCUCAUCCUGGCCUGUGGCUUGGGCUCCAAACUUCCUCCCCUUGUCGUAUAGAGCAGGCAAGUUGCACAAUAUGUAUAUCAAACCCUGUCUCUCAGACCACACUUCCCUUUUGGUCCCCAGUGAGUAGAAGAAAUAACUCACUGUAGAAAUUGUUAUGCUGGGGGUGUGGCUUAGUGGUGACGAUACUGGUGAUGAUGUUGGCAAAGGAAAUGAACAAAGCAAAAGAGGAAGUCGGCAAAGCCAGGAUGGUGAUGGGCACUCUAGCUUUUGGGGAACUUUUCAGCUCUUGACACACUCAGCACUUUUAAGCUAUAAGGUUUCCUUUGUUCUGGCAUCUCACUCCUCCAAGAUGGAGGCAGGCAUUUCUUCAAAGCUGAAAGUGCCUUGGUACCUGUUUUACUUACUUUCUAUUGCUGUGAUAACUAUGAAUACUGUGCAGCCCAGACUGGCUUCAAGUACAUGACAAUUCUGCAUUUGUCUCCCAAGGACUGAGAUCACAGGCACGAGCUCCCAGGCCUGGUUGAUGUAUGUGUUCUACAUCUUCUUUACUUAUCCUCUUGCUCAGAACAGAGCUAAGCAAUGACUGUCCUCACUACUUUCUCCAGACCUUGUCUUAUUCCUUGAGUUGACGACUUAGCACAGGCCUUAGGGGUCUGUUCUUUCCCUCUCGUCUUUUCUGUCCUGGUUACUUUUAUGUCAACUAGACACAAGCUAGAAUCAUCAGAGAGAAGGGAGCCUUAACUGACAAAAUACAUCCAAAAGAUCUGUCUGUAGGCAAGCCUGUAGGAAAUUUUUAUUAAUUGGUAUUUAUUUGGGGAGGAACCAGCCUGUUGUGGGUGGUGCCAUCCCUGCGCUGGUGGUCCUGGGUUCUAUAAGAAAGUAGGCUGAGCAAGCCAUGAGGAGCAAGCCAGUGAGCAACACCCCUCCAUGAUCGCUGCAUCAGCUCCUGGUUCCAGGUUCCUGCCUUGCUUGAGUUCCUAUCCUGACUUCCUUUGAUGAUAAACUGUGAUGUGGAAAUGUAAGGCAAAUAAACCCUUUCCUCCCCAAGUUGCUUUGGUCAUGGAGUUUCACUGUAGUAAUAGUAACCGACAUGAAAAUGAAUUGGCACCAAGAUUUACUGUGACAUUACUGUGACAGACCUGAGCAUAUUGUUUUGGAAGGACUUUGGGACUUUGUGCAAGAAAACCCAUAGAGCGGUCAAUUCUUGGUGAGCUGUUCCUAGGAACUUGGAAGAUAGGGACGUUGAGGGCAACACAAAGAUGGAGGCCUGACUUGUGAAGCUUCAGAAGGAAGCUUAAGGACUCCUUCAGGGCCAUUUGUUAUAUUGAAUUACGAUUCCGUGGUUCUCAUUAGCUGGGGCUGAAGAAUAGGCAUCGAUAAACAAGAUUCCAGAACCACUAAAAAUGAAACCUUUGCUUUGCUUAGAUACUCAGUGCUGGUGAGCUGGAGCUGAGAAAUUAGCAGUGACUAAGAAAAGUCCAGCAUUAUUGAGGUGAAAUCUUCUGGGAAGUGUUUUCUGAGAGCACACAGAAGCUGUGUUCCAGAGAUGGCCAAAGUUGUAUUUCUCCACCGGCAGCCAAAUUUGGUCAUGUGGAUGAGUCACCCAGGUGACACUGGUUCAUGGAAGAGCAGCUGAGUCUUGGCACUGACAAUACAGCCUCAGUGGCAGCUGAAGGCCCAGGAUUGAAAGGGUCAUGCAGAGCAGUUGAGGCUUGUCCCCAUGAAGAGAGCCCAGGAGAGUACUGGUAUAAGUGCAGCCCAGUCGCAGC
Molecule: long non-coding RNA, 1944 nt
Filed under: Mus caroli (Ryukyu mouse)
Lineage: Eukaryota; Metazoa; Chordata; Mammalia; Rodentia; Muridae
Description: lncRNA (MGP_CAROLIEiJ_G0003254.1)
Source: RNAcentral